Small nucleolar RNA from Parus major (Great Tit), 75 nucleotides. The record is from Ensembl. Lineage: Eukaryota; Metazoa; Chordata; Aves; Passeriformes; Paridae.
AAUUGUUGUGAUGAUUGGCAAAAUGUUCAACUGCUCUGAAGAGAGAGUGAGUGAGAAGAGCCUUUCUGAACAGAU